GGUAGAAUAAGUUAAUUAAACUGUUGGACUCAUGAUCCAAUAAUGAAAGGUGUAAUCCCUUCUUCUGCCU
RNAcentral lists this transfer RNA (70 nucleotides) under Ophioplocus japonicus. Its description in RNAcentral is "tRNA-Met". It matches the Rfam family "tRNA". Rfam says of the family: Transfer RNA (tRNA) molecules are approximately 80 nucleotides in length. Their secondary structure includes four short double-helical elements and three loops (D, anti-codon, and T loops). Further hydrogen bonds mediate the characteristic L-shaped molecular structure. tRNAs have two regions of fundamental functional importance: the anti-codon, which is responsible for specific mRNA codon recognition, and the 3' end, to which the tRNAs corresponding amino acid is attached (by aminoacyl-tRNA synthetases). tRNAs cope with the degeneracy of the genetic code in two manners: having more than one tRNA (with a specific anti-codon) for a particular amino acid; and 'wobble' base-pairing, i.e. permitting non-standard base-pairing at the 3rd anti-codon position. Lineage: Eukaryota; Metazoa; Echinodermata; Ophiuroidea; Amphilepidida; Ophiolepididae. The record is from RNAcentral.